This 548-nucleotide long non-coding RNA is filed under the name Zonotrichia albicollis (white-throated sparrow). RNAcentral describes it as "lncRNA (ENSZALG00000009217.1)". Lineage: Eukaryota; Metazoa; Chordata; Aves; Passeriformes; Passerellidae. The record is from RNAcentral.
AUGCUUGGCUGGGUCCCUCUCACCCUAAUUCCUGGGAUCUGGGGACAAAACUGGGAAAAGGAUGAAGAUGUGGGGAAAUGCUUGGCUGGGUCCUUCUCCAUCCAUUUUCUGGGAUUUGGGGACAAAGCCAGGAAAUGGAUGAGGAUGUGUGGGGAAAUGCUUGGCUGGUUCUCUCUCAGUCUCUUCCCUGGGAAUUGGGGACAAAACUGGGAAAAGGAUGAGGAUAUAGGGAAACGCUCGGCUGGGUCCUUCUCCAUCCAUUUUCUGGGAUUUGGGGCAAUUUGUGGACAAAGCCAGGAAAAGGGAUGAGGAUGUGGGGAAAUGCUUGGCUGGGUCCCUCUCCAUCCAUUUUCUGGGAUUUGGGGCAAAGCUGGGAAAUGGAUGAGGAUGUGGGGAAGAUCUUGGCUGGGUGCUCUCCAUCUGAUUUCUGGGAUUUGGGGACAAAGCUGGGACAGGGAUGGGACAGCUAUCCUGCUAUUCCAACUCUAUCCAUGCUCUUGGACAGGGAAUGGGAAUUCCCUGGGGCAGGGCAGCUCAGCUUCAUCCCA